Molecule: long non-coding RNA, 2313 nt
Filed under: Triticum aestivum (bread wheat)
Lineage: Eukaryota; Viridiplantae; Streptophyta; Magnoliopsida; Poales; Poaceae
Description: long non-coding RNA (TAES_LNC005885)
Source: RNAcentral
AAAAUGUUCGCCUGCAGAAGUUGUUCGUGUUUCCAAAUUUUGUUUUGAAAUUUGAAAAAAUGUUCCUUUUCAGUUUUUUGGGUAGUUUAAAAAUAUUUCCAUUGUAAAAAAUAUGUUCGCGUCUCCAAAAUUCAUUUGUGUGACGAAAAAUGUUUGAGUUUUCUCAAAAUUUAUGAAAAAUAUAUCACUUCACUUGCACGACUUCACCCAACAUACAUAGACAAACAAGUCAAAAAAAUAUAGGGGACAAUGAGGUGCUUCACUUGCAUGACUUCACCAACAUACAUGGAAAAACUCUGAACCACAACCCUUAAAUAUGAUUCUUCUACUCCAUGUAGGGGCUUGACUCCACCAAACAUACAAAGAUAGAAGGUCAGCAUGUGCAUCAUUCAAGGCGGCCAAAUAUUGCAAAGGACAUGGAAUUUAUAUACACUGAAGAUGAACCUUCUCUCAAUGUAAGUAAAAAAUCAACUACUUCUUCACAAGGAUACAAUUUUGUAAGUAGCAAAACAUACUUUUAUUUGAGCAAAACAAUAAUGAAAGUACUAAAAAUAUAAAGGGUCAUUAUUGAAGGAAAAAAUAUAUUCCUAUGCGAAUUUCUUGAUGAAAAAUUUGUAACACAACACCCUUGCUUUACUACCGGCCGCCGACUCUGCCAACCCAAACAUCUUACUCUUGCUAGCAAUGUCACUGGUCAUGGUGAGGGUGAAAACUGAAAACUCUGUCACAUGCUCAAUGGUUAUAUGAUUGGCAUUGCUAGUUGAGGGUUAUCUAGAUGACUUAAAAUCAUUAUUCUAACCUGAAACAACAAGAUAAACAUACCUAUAUAGGCCUUGGAGAGACUACGUAUUGUUGCCAGUGUUUGAUGAAGCUUCAGAUUAAAUUACUAUGUAUUAUAUGCUUAAUUUUAUUAGUGUAUGCUUGAUUUUCUUACAAUCAAGGGAAAAUGUAGUAAUAUAAUCUGAAGCUUCAUGAAACAGCAGGAGUACUACAAAGCUGACGGUCCCCUGCCUGUAGAAUCUAAUGUACAAUAAGCAAUGCCUUUUUUUGACCUCCUCUUCUACAGAAAAUCGUUCCCCGGACUGUACCACCAUAGUCAAGAAGCUAGAGUACUUUGCUCUGAAGGACCAAGGUGAUUCGAUGCAUGAUCGUCAUGCCAAUCACCCCUGAGUAAUGCUGUUGUGGUGUGUCCGGUAUCAGGUUAUCUAUUGCAAGAGGUUGCAAGUCCACCGAAGCAGUGGCAGAACCAGUAUCUUGGUCCGUCUCAGAAUCACCCAACUGAGACAGACAGGCUAACACUGGCCCACACACCAGUUCUCUCCACUCUCUACCACUUCAAGGGCAAUUUGGAAUUUAUCAGCAAUUUCAGAAGCACCAAAACUACCAGAAUAUGAACUCUAUGGUACGAGUAAAGCAAAGCUGGCGAAUCAUGUUUUAGCCCCUUUCUCCGAACUUCAAGUCCUAACUGAUAGUGACUCGAUGCUUGAAAUGUAGAAUAACAAUUUUCAGUCAUUAUUAGAUAAGUUAAGAAGAUUGGAGGGCCUCUGUAUUUGAGAAAUGCACAAAGCCGUAGUAGCCAGUACAAGAUUUACAAAGUAUCAAUGGGAACACGUAGGUUCAUAGAAUUGUACGAAUGUGAAGACAUAUCGAACUAAAAAACAAUUACGAGCAACAGAUUCAUACUUCGAGCCAAGACAAACAGAUUUUUUAAGUGAUUGUUUAGUAAUUUGAGAAAUGACAAGCAAUGAGCAUGUGAAUACCAAGACUACCUCAUAGAUUUGAUUGUCAGUGUACUCUCCUAGAGGGUCAAGGUUGUUUCUCACAGUUCAAUCGAACAUUGAUGAUGGCCAAUCUAGAAAUCAGAUCGUACAAGCCAAUGGUGCCAAUGUCGAUGAUGUAUACUAUUAUCUAACCGAUAGUAGGACACAUGAUACAGAAAAGGGCAUGCAUGAGAGUUGAUUUACCACUACAUAUUCUACCAAAAAUACCUGUCUGCAUACCUUGGAGUAUAUCUCACGUGCAUCAUUAUUAAAAAGUUAAUGACAUGAGCUACUUAGUAAUAUUCUGUUGUUGAUCUGGCAAAUCACUGAACCAAACAGUUCAUUUGCCCAUGAGUUUAGAUUUCUGGCAAUUUACUCACAAGGGGAAAAAAGGUGCAGCUUCUUUAGAACAUGCCAACACAAAAAUGUAAAUACGUAACAGAAGUGGGCAAGAGGGAAAAUAGAUGAUGGUAUUUACAUGGAGGUUAUGGAGCUGAAUUUCCCCUCUGAUGGCCAGUUAUUUGAUAACCAAUCUUCAGAUAUUGAAAGAGAG